UGGGGAAUAUUGCACAAUGGAGGGAACUCUGAUGCAGCGACGCCGCGUGAACGAAGAAGGCUUUCGAGUCGUAAAGUUCUUUUAUAUGGGAAGAUAAUGACGGUACCAUAAGAAGAAGCCCCGGCUAACUACGUGCCAGCAGCCGCGGUAAUACGUAGGGGGCUAUCGUUGUCCGGAAUCACUGGGCGUAAAGGGUUCGCAGGCGGAAAUGCAAGUCAGGUGUAAAAGGCAGUAGCUUAACUACUGUAAGCAUUUGAAACUGCAUAUCUUGAGAAGAGUAGAGGUAAGUUGAAUUUUUAGUGUAGCGGUGAAAUGCGUAGAUAUUAAAAAGAAUACCGGUGGCGAAGGCGACUUACUGGGCUCAUUCUGACGCUGAGGAACGAAAGCGUGGGUAGCAAACAGG
This 403-nucleotide ribosomal RNA is filed under the name bacterium. RNAcentral's name for it is "partial 16S ribosomal RNA". It matches the Rfam family "Bacterial small subunit ribosomal RNA", at positions 355 to 776 of the family's 1533-position model. The record is from RNAcentral.